GAGCACAGGCAGCUGGACCCCGGGGGCCCCAGUGAGGCCCUGCAAAUUAAUUAAGCUUUGCAGCCCUGCCAUGAGAUGCUGAGGUAAUUGCAAUGCUCACGCCCUGGGAGACCACACACCACCAGGCCAUUCUCAUUUCCUUCUUUCUUUAUGAGGCUGGUUUUGGAGGACAGACACUGAAAAAUGGAGAACCAUGCACUCAACCACGCAGUCCUUUACAGGGAGGUGAAGCUGAGAACCAACAUCUGCAAAAUAUCUAUCAAAAAGGAGAAAAAGGCCCUGCUUUCUGAGAGGAAAAUUAAUUUUGACAUCUUAAUUAUAAGUUGGAGGAAAGGUUGGUGCUAGAAUAGUAAGCUUUGAAGAUUAUUAUAUUGUCAUUAUUCAUUAAUGACUACAAAAGUAACUAGCUCUAAAUGAUAAUGGUAAAGCGUAAUGGCAAAUCUAUGAAGCUGCUAUUAUAUCCCAUUUAUUCCAAAGGAGUCCUUUACUAUUAACCUGAUAACAAAAAACAAAAGUACUAAUAAGGUUUUGGCCCACAGUGACAUGUAUCGCUGUACAAACACUACCAGGGAAAA
This is a long non-coding RNA of Oxyura jamaicensis (ruddy duck), 575 nucleotides long. RefSeq lists it as uncharacterized. The record is from RefSeq and is a predicted model, not a curated record. The transcript has 2 exons. Lineage: Eukaryota; Metazoa; Chordata; Aves; Anseriformes; Anatidae.